Molecule: ribosomal RNA, 253 nt
Filed under: uncultured bacterium
Lineage: Bacteria
Description: partial 16S ribosomal RNA
Rfam family: Bacterial small subunit ribosomal RNA
Source: RNAcentral
UACAGAGGGUGCAAGCGUUGUUCGGAAUUAUUGGGCGUAAAGGGCGCGUAGGCGGUUCGGCAAGUCUCUAGUGAAAUCUCUGGGCUCAACUCAGAGUCUGCUGGGGAAACUGCCGGGCUUGAGUGUGGGAGAGGAGAGUGGAAUUCCCGGUGUAGCGGUGAAAUGCGUAGAUAUCGAGAGGAACACCAGUGGCGAAGGCGAGUCCCUGGACAGAUCCUGACGCUGAGGCACGAAAGCUAGGGGAGCAAACAGG